Molecule: non-coding RNA, 104 nt
Organism: Amylostereum chailletii
Lineage: Eukaryota; Fungi; Basidiomycota; Agaricomycetes; Russulales; Stereaceae
Source: the annotation of a GenBank genome assembly
ACCUCUGUAGCGCAAUGGUAGCGCGUCGCUUGCGUGCUUUGGUGCCUCAGGCGCUCCCCUCAGUCUGCAAGUGGAGUUAGUGGGUUCGACUCCCACCAGGGGUU